RNAcentral lists this long non-coding RNA (2316 nucleotides) under Rattus norvegicus (Norway rat). RNAcentral describes it as "long non-coding RNA NONRATT018946". Lineage: Eukaryota; Metazoa; Chordata; Mammalia; Rodentia; Muridae. The record is from RNAcentral.
CCCGAUCCAGCUGGUGUCUCUAGGCUGAGCCAGUAGAGUUGGGACUCUGGUGUGGCCCUGAACACAUCCCACAUGAUGAGUGCAUAUGGCCGUUUCCAUUUCGCUCACUGCCCAUGUGCCUGGGGAAUUAUGGGAGCUUUAGAAAGAAAAUUACCACUGCGUCUCAAUGAGGUGAGGCUGCUGUGUCUGGAGGCUCCUCAUAACUUGUAAAUUAAAUGUGAAUGAGAGAAGUUCAUUAAAAUUGGCAUUAUAGAAGUGGCCUAUUGAGGUUUGAAAGCAGCUGAGCUCAUGGUGUCUGGGCUCUCUCUAAACCUGUGGAGAAAUGCAUGAACAAAUGACAGGCAGUGGUCACAGGAGCGUAGGGUUCAGGCAGCUUGAGUGCUGUGAGUGGAUUGCUGCCCGGCUCCCAGCCCUCCGGGGGCAUAGAGGGGAGUCACUGCUCAAUGCAUGAGGCUCAGCCACUGAGAAUAUUUGUUAUUUGGGGUAUACAAGGGAGCCAAACCCCUAAGGGAAGGGACUAGUGCCAUUUCCACAGCAUCGUGGAUGUUGUUUUCAUUUAUUCCCGGUAUACAGGUAUGUGUAAAAAUCUCAAAGGCACAGCACACACAAACAUCUGUGUAUUAUGGUUCAGAGAGAUACCGGGAAGGUGGAGGAGAGGUGGUUUCAGUGAAUACAAUAAUUACCUUCAUUUUUUUCCUUAAUGGAAUUAAUGUAUUAGAAGAUGUAUGCAUCUCCUCUACAGAGAAGGAAGGAAAACUAACAGUAAAAACAUAGCUAUUAUCCACCUCACCACAAAUAUUUGCAGUUACGGAAUGUUGCCACAGUGUGAAUUCCACUGAUGAAAAGAUGUUGCUGGGGAGGAGAGAGGCUGCUGGCGCUGAGCCCUGCCACUGCCGCAUAAAUGCUGCUGUUUAUUUUGAACCAGGAAACGUUGAUCCUGUAACAAUGCCCCAUUACAGUUGCUGUAUUGCAGUGAGGGGCUGAUGCAGGUUUAAUCAUCUCGCUAAUGGAUGUGGGUGCAGGAUGGAUGCUCUGCCCUGCUUUCCCCACCUGCAUCCUGAUGAGCCUCAGUAGCCGGCAGGGCCAUUGCACAGUGGAGCAGCUGCAGCUGCAGUUCCAUCUCCCUGAUGCUCAAAAGCCAUGUCUGGCCAAAGUAAAACAGAUUAUCUGUUCUUUUCUGUCUCCCUUCAGAAGACACCAACUAUGGGAGACAAAUCAGAUCUUUUAACACAAUCUCAUUAAGGCUCCAUGCUAACAAGAGUGCAGAGCUUACCUGACUUACAGACGUGAUGAAUUAGCAUGCACACUGCACACAUCAACUCACCAGCUCUCCCUGUAACAUGGAAAGGCCUCCAUCUUUUUAAUGGAUGAGCUGCCUGCAUUCCCAUCUGUUUGCUUCUUAGAAGUAAACUAAAUUCAGCGGCCAGCCAUCUAGUGCAGCAUUUAUUUAAAAGAUACAGAAAUACUGUUUCCCACUGGGUCUCUUACAUGGCCUCAAAGGUCAGAAUUUAUUGUCUGUGAUAGUGAAACCAUGUAUACAAAACUCCCUUCUGUUCAUGAUCCAUGUAGCAGACGUUCCUAAAGCACAGUCUCUAAGCAUUUUCCUUACGGGCGGGGUGCUCAAAGAAUAAUCAGCAGGAGUCAUUUAGCGAUUGUGUGUUUCACUGGUAAGUGGUCUAAGUUGAAUGCAAAAUGCAUUGGGCCUCUUUUUUUUUUGUGGCUGGUGUUGCUUUUGUUUAUUCUGUUUUGGUUUUUAAAUAAAAUAUAUGAACUGCUGGCAUUUGGAACAUCCCAUAAUAAUUGCAAGAUAAUGUUCCUGUCACUGCCCCCUCUUCAUUGGAGGAGAGACACUAGCUCAGUAAUUCAUGUCGUCCUGUCCGGUUUUACAUCCUUUCUCAUCUCCAACCUGUGACUGUGCAUGUCAAUUCUGACCUCAGUCUCCAUCAACAUUAUAGGGACUGGGUAUUUUAAAGGAUGUUUUAGAAUGCCGUUCUUUCCUGAUCUCUCCUUUAUGCUUUUAAGCUAUAUUUCCUGUUCUGAUGUGGGACUCGUUCACAGAAUCAGGGCAGGAAAGGACUCUUCCUCAUUGUGUACUUCGGUUUCUGAUGUGUGAUAAAUCCAUGGUUUUAUGGCUGACCUUACACUUCCCAGAGGGAAGGAGACAGAUUUCUAGUGUCCAGACCAAGAGAGCUAUUCACCCAGAGUUCUCACAUGCUGUGUACUGGUCUGAUGAAACCUGCCCUGUGGCGUAAACUUUCGUAUGAGCUGUCUCCAUGUAAUAUUCAAUAAAUUGUGUGCUCUGAAUAUAUAUAAAUG